Molecule: non-coding RNA, 29 nt
Filed under: Rattus norvegicus (Norway rat)
Lineage: Eukaryota; Metazoa; Chordata; Mammalia; Rodentia; Muridae
Source: RNAcentral
UGGAGAUUUCUUUCAGUUCUGUUGUCUCU